This 2606-nucleotide small RNA is filed under the name Arabidopsis thaliana (thale cress). RNAcentral describes it as "ATSL047690". The record is from RNAcentral. Lineage: Eukaryota; Viridiplantae; Streptophyta; Magnoliopsida; Brassicales; Brassicaceae.
AAUUUCAUGUUUUCCUAAAUUUUCUAUUCACUACAAUAAUAUCAUGUUCACGAUUCGAUUUCAAAUGUAUCUAUCAUAAAGUUUGAAAAUAAAAGAUUUUACGCACCAAAAGCCCGUUAACUUUUAUCUUAAAUUUACAUGACAAUAUUAAGAAAAUAAUUAAUAAAGUUAUUAUCUCUUCUAUGAAAUGGCUCGUUUGAACAAUAAUUUAAUAACGAUUGACAAAAAAGAAGAAGUUAUUAUCUCUUUUAUUAUUUGAGCACAAAUAUAGCAAAGGUAUUCAUCGAUUAACUAGGUUUUGAUUUCUCACUUCAACAAUUAACAUACAAGAUCCUAGAGUUAUUCAGGAGUUCUUAAGUCUUUUUUUGAUAUAACACCAAUCCUAAAUCUUCAGUUUAUACACAGAUCUAUUAGUCUAUAUUUUUAUCAAAAAAUUUUUUAGAGAAGCUAUUAAAAAAGAAUCUAAUAACAACAACAAAUAGUUCUGAAUUUAGCGAUCUGUCAUAUUUUGAAGGAUAAAAGGAGUACAUCUUUUUUAAUUAAAUUAAAAAACUUAUUAAUAAGUUGCAAUAAGACAGUUACUGAGGAAUAAAAAUUCGGAUAGAAUAAUAAAAACUACAAAACAAAAGAUUUUGAUACAACAUUUAUCCUCAAUUAUCAUCCCAUAUACUCUUCCAUCGUUUUGAUAGAGCCAUAGUUCUCACAGUUUCGUCUAAAGGAAGUUUUAAUAUGAUUUUACCCAAAAUUUCGUUUGGGAGAUCGCUAAUGCGAUCUUUAGUGUUGUCUACAUCAACUACAACACUUCUUCCCCGUGUAUCAGACGGUGAUUGCGAUUUCUCCAUAGGUUGAAUUGUUAAAGAAAUAUAUUUUUUUAUGAAGAAGAAAGAAAAGAAAAGUGAAAAUAUUUGUUACUUUAGAUUAUUCAUAGGUAGGAGGAACAUGAGAUGAGAAGGUUUAUAUAUACAUGAGGUAGUUUGUAGUUAAUUACGAGGAGAUAAGAUAAACUAAAUAUAGACCAUACAAUAUAUUUGGGUUGCUGUAAGAAAAUAAAAACCAAAUCAAGUAAGAAUAAUUAUGAUUCCAUUUAAACAAUUUGUAUUCCUUUCACACUCAAAAUUAGGAAAAAAGUUAACACUUUCCAACCUAAAAUAUAUAGGGAAAAUUGGCUAUAAAGGAUAGAUACAACAACUUUUGUCCAUAUAUACCUUUUUUGUAGAUUGGUAAGAAAGAUUUGAGAAAAUAAAUACGAGUAUGCAGAAUAAAUUGAUACACAUAAUUGUAAUGAGGUUUGGUCUUACAAACUAUAUCCAUGGAAUUAGAACCCGUCCAAAAACAAAACAAAUAUAAACAAAAGUAAUUACACAAUUGCAAACGCAUAAAUUAAAUCCACCUGCUCUGAUCUACCACUAAGCUAAAUUACAUCUGAAUUUAUAGUUUAGUCAUGUUUUGAAUAGGAGCAAGCACCUUUUUAGCCUAUUAUGAAUAGGAAGAGUUACAAAUUAUGUCCAACUUGACGUUAUUUGUAUUUAAUUUUCUUGAAUUUCCAUUCUUGUAUCAUCUUCUACCAUCUUCUAGAAGGAGAUAUCUUGCUCUUAAAGGAAUUAUCCAACAUCACUUGUCGAUGGACUUGCUACUGAAGCUACAAGAACAUGGCAUGCUCGGUUAUGUCAUAUUGGAGUUGAUUCACAGAGAAGAUGUUGGAGAAGUACAUGAAGAAGAUGAUGUCAUGGAGGAUAUCACUAAAAAAACCACGAGAAUGAGGUUGGUGAAGUAAUCCAAGGAGUACCACAACUGAGAAGGUCGGGUCGACAAGUAAGUCAGUCGCGGUACCUUGAAGACUAUGUUAUGCAGUCCCAAACAACUUAUAGAUUGUUCAAACAAGCUUAUGUUAAAAGUAAGAGACGUCAACUUUCGACAAGUAAUGAGCCAAGAGGCUAAAGAUGUGCUUUAAUGGUGGAAAGCAUGUGAAGAGGAGUUGAAUCAGUCAACAAGAACGAGAUGGUUCUUUGUUGACAUAUUGAUUCAAGUUUCUAAUCGGUUUAAAAGCUUUUCAAGAGUUUGUAGAGAAGCAAGUCGGCUUGUCUAUUAAAACCUUUCGUACCCAUAAAGGAGGGGAGUUUACUUCAAGAGAGUUCAAUCGAUGUUGCAUAGAGGAGGAAUCUCUAGGUAUCUAAUGAAGAUUCUAAAUGAUAUGUGGGGAGAAGUCGUACGUCAUUCAAAGAUCAUGGGACUACAUCUAAAGAAACUAGAUGAAGAGUCAAGAAGUAUAAUCACGAGGCUGCAUCUCAAGAAGGUAGAUGAUUGGUCAAUCUUGGAAUCAAGUCAGAUUUUAGAGAUGUUUAAACCAAGUUGGGUUUUAUUAGAGAAUAUCAAAAGAAGCAAGGUCAUGGUAUUUUGGUGUUUUGUACUAGUUAUUGAAGUACAAGUAAUAUUUAGCUAAGAAAGCUGAAAUGAGUAUGAUACAUUGCAACACACCGAAAUUUAAUUAGCCCACGAUAUAUCAUAAACAAAUUUUUUUCCACACAAUUUUAACUAAAUCAACUUGUUUCGACAUGUCAAAAUAUCAUAAUAAGGUUUUAAUCCUUGUUGUAGUACCAAAAUAAUAA